Molecule: ribosomal RNA, 220 nt
Filed under: uncultured Gardnerella sp.
Lineage: Bacteria; Bacillati; Actinomycetota; Actinomycetes; Bifidobacteriales; Bifidobacteriaceae
Description: partial 16S ribosomal RNA
Rfam family: Bacterial small subunit ribosomal RNA
Source: RNAcentral
GCUCCAGAAUAGCUCUUGGAAACGGGUGGUAAUGCUGGAUGCUCCAACUUGACGCAUGUCUUGUUGGGAAAGUGUUUAGUGGCAUGGGAUGGGGUCGCGUCCUAUCAGCUUGUAGGCGGGGUAAUGGCCCACCUAGGCUUCGACGGGUAGCCGGCCUGAGAGGGCGGACGGCCACAUUGGGACUGAGAUACGGCCCAGACUCCUACGGGAGGCAGCAGGC